Molecule: non-coding RNA, 301 nt
Organism: Pelobates cultripes (western spadefoot toad)
Lineage: Eukaryota; Metazoa; Chordata; Amphibia; Anura; Pelobatidae
Source: the annotation of a GenBank genome assembly
CCAGAGUGGCCUUUUUUUCCAGGGGGUGCAAUUCCCUUUUAAAGCAGAAAUACGUCAUGUACAGAGUCACAGUUAACAUACAGUAUACAUUCAUCAAUUGGUUAACAGUCUAAGGGGUCUUGUCUAAACCCCCCCUACAGGAUGUAGUGUCGUCAUUACAGACUUCUCCCACCCACAUUCCAGCUCCAUCUUGGUUACACGAUGGGAGGGGGGGAAGUGAGUAGUAGUUACUUUAACAGUGAUUCUCUAUUUUGUUAGCUGUUACUUUGCACAAAGGAAGUGGGGGAGGAGUUUAAUAAAG